RNAcentral lists this unclassified non-coding RNA (242 nucleotides) under uncultured fungus. RNAcentral describes it as "partial contains 5.8S ribosomal RNA, internal transcribed spacer 2, and large subunit ribosomal RNA". Lineage: Eukaryota; Fungi. The record is from RNAcentral.
AACGCACAUUGCGCCUCCCUUUACCGGGAGGCAUGCCUGUCUGAGCGUCAUCUGAAACCCAUAAAUCAUUGAUUUGUGUUGGGCUCUGCAUCCAGGUGCAUUGCCUCAAAGCCCUGGGUCUUUUGAUUUGCGGACGAGUUCCUCUUGGACUUACCGUGAGCCUGACCCCAACUUAGGGAGCCCCUGAGCGGGGCAUCCGAACCUCUGACCUCAGAUCAGGUAGGAAGACCGCCUGAACUUAA